GUACUCACCUGGCAGGGGUGAUACUGUGAUCACAAAAGUGGUUUUCCCAGGGCAAGACUUAUCCUUUGCACUCUGGAUGUGCUGUCCCCUGCGAUUUCCCCGAACAUGGGAAACUCAACUGCAUAAUUGGUGGUAGUGGGGGGCUUAGUUCACACUCCUCCCCUA
This 165-nucleotide small nuclear RNA is filed under the name Dasypus novemcinctus (nine-banded armadillo). RNAcentral's name for it is "U1 spliceosomal RNA (ENSDNOG00000033845.1)". It matches the Rfam family "U1 spliceosomal RNA". Rfam says of the family: U1 is a small nuclear RNA (snRNA) component of the spliceosome (involved in pre-mRNA splicing). Its 5' end forms complementary base pairs with the 5' splice junction, thus defining the 5' donor site of an intron. There are significant differences in sequence and secondary structure between metazoan and yeast U1 snRNAs, the latter being much longer (568 nucleotides as compared to 164 nucleotides in human). The record is from RNAcentral. Lineage: Eukaryota; Metazoa; Chordata; Mammalia; Cingulata; Dasypodidae.